UUAGUUUAAAUCAUUGUGGGACUAUUCUUUGAAAAUUGAACCCACACAAAGUGGUGGAACAUACUUUGAUUUCAUUCAA
RNAcentral lists this microRNA precursor (79 nucleotides) under Medicago truncatula (barrel medic). RNAcentral describes it as "MIR5269 microRNA precursor family". It matches the Rfam family "MIR5269 microRNA precursor family". The record is from Rfam by way of RNAcentral. Lineage: Eukaryota; Viridiplantae; Streptophyta; Magnoliopsida; Fabales; Fabaceae.